UACGGGGGGGGCAAGCGUUGUUCGGAAUUACUGGGCGUAAAGGGUUCGUAGGUGGCCUGCUAAGUCACACGUGAAAUCCCUCAGCUUAACUGGGGAACUGCGUCUGAUACUGGGUGGCUUGAGUGCAGGAGAGGAAUGCGGAAUUCCAGGUGUAGCGGUGAAAUGCGUAGAUAUCUGGAGGAACACCGGUGGCGAAGGCGGCAUUCUGGACUGUAACUGACACUGAGGAACGAAAGCCAGGGGAGCAAACGGG
RNAcentral lists this ribosomal RNA (253 nucleotides) under uncultured bacterium. RNAcentral describes it as "partial 16S ribosomal RNA". It matches the Rfam family "Bacterial small subunit ribosomal RNA", at positions 524 to 776 of the family's 1533-position model. The record is from RNAcentral.